RNAcentral lists this ribosomal RNA (556 nucleotides) under Nocardia sp. Its description in RNAcentral is "bacterial SSU rRNA". It matches the Rfam family "Bacterial small subunit ribosomal RNA", at positions 96 to 667 of the family's 1533-position model. The record is from RNAcentral. Lineage: Bacteria; Bacillati; Actinomycetota; Actinomycetes; Mycobacteriales; Nocardiaceae.
CGGCGACGGGUGAGUAACACGUGGGUGAUCUGCCUCGCACUCUGGGAUAAGCCUGGGAAACUGGGUCUAAUACCGGAUAUGACCUUACAUCGCAUGGUGUUUGGUGGAAAGAUUUAUCGGUGCGAGAUGGGCCCGCGGCCUAUCAGCUUGUUGGUGGGGUAAUGGCCUACCAAGGCGACGACGGGUAGCCGGCCUGAGAGGGCGACCGGCCACACUGGGACUGAGACACGGCCCAGACUCCUACGGGAGGCAGCAGUGGGGAAUAUUGCACAAUGGGCGAAAGCCUGAUGCAGCGACGCCGCGUGAGGGAUGACGGCCUUCGGGUUGUAAACCUCUUUCGACAGGGACGAAGCGCAAGUGACGGUACCUGUAGAAGAAGCACCGGCCAACUACGUGCCAGCAGCCGCGGUAAUACGUAGGGUGCGAGCGUUGUCCGGAAUUACUGGGCGUAAAGAGCUUGUAGGCGGCUUGUCGCGUCGAUCGUGAAAACUUGGGGCUCAACCCCAAGCUUGCGGUCGAUACGGGCAGGCUUGAGUACUUCAGGGGACCGUGGGAA